Molecule: small nuclear RNA, 23 nt
Filed under: Arabidopsis thaliana (thale cress)
Lineage: Eukaryota; Viridiplantae; Streptophyta; Magnoliopsida; Brassicales; Brassicaceae
Description: snRNA_07518
Source: RNAcentral
GAACAUAAUAACUGAAGAGAAAC